Molecule: ribosomal RNA, 1290 nt
Filed under: Bacillus sp. (in: firmicutes)
Lineage: Bacteria; Bacillati; Bacillota; Bacilli; Caryophanales; Bacillaceae
Description: bacterial SSU rRNA
Rfam family: Bacterial small subunit ribosomal RNA
Source: RNAcentral
GGAAUAAUCGGGAAACCGGAGCUAAUACCGGAUAGUUCCAUGAACCGCAUGGUUCAAGGAUGAAAGACGGUUUCGGCUGUCACUUACAGAUGGACCCGCGGCGCAUUAGCUAGUUGGUGAGGUAACGGCUCACCAAGGCGACGAUGCGUAGCCGACCUGAGAGGGUGAUCGGCCACACUGGGACUGAGACACGGCCCAGACUCCUACGGGAGGCAGCAGUAGGGAAUCUUCCGCAAUGGACGAAAGUCUGACGGAGCAACGCCGCGUGAGUGAUGAAGGUUUUCGGAUCGUAAAGCUCUGUUGUUAGGGAAGAACAAGUGCAAGAGUAACUGCUUGCACCUUGACGGUACCUAACCAGAAAGCCACGGCUAACUACGUGCCAGCAGCCGCGGUAAUACGUAGGUGGCAAGCGUUGUCCGGAAUUAUUGGGCGUAAAGGGCUCGCAGGCGGUUUCUUAAGUCUGAUGUGAAAGCCCCCGGCUCAACCGGGGAGGGUCAUUGGAAACUGGGAAACUUGAGUGCAGAAGAGGAGAGUGGAAUUCCACGUGUAGCGGUGAAAUGCGUAGAGAUGUGGAGGAACACCAGUGGCGAAGGCGACUCUCUGGUCUGUAACUGACGCUGAGGAGCGAAAGCGUGGGGAGCGAACAGGAUUAGAUACCCUGGUAGUCCACGCCGUAAACGAUGAGUGAUAAGUGGGAGGGGAGUUUCUCGCCCCUUAGUGCUGCAGCUAACGCAUUAAGCACUCCGCUCAAGGGAAAUACCCCCCCAAGACUGAAACUCAAAGGAAUUGACGGGGGCCCGCACAAGCGGUGGAGCAUGUGGUUUAAUUCGAAGCAACGCGAAGAACCUUACCAGGUCUUGACAUCCUCUGACAACCCUAGAGAUAGGGCUUUCCCUUCGGGGACAGAGUGACAGGUGGUGCAUGGUUGUCGUCAGCUCGUGUCGUGAGAUGUUGGGUUAAGUCCCGCAACGAGCGCAACCCUUGAUCUUAGUUGCCAGCAUUCAGUUGGGCACUCUAAGGUGACUGCCGGUGACAAACCGGAGGAAGGUGGGGAUGACGUCAAAUCAUCAUGCCCCUUAUGACCUGGGCUACUCACGUGCUACAAUGGACAGAACAAUGGGCUGCGAGACCGCAAGGUUUACCCAAUCCCACAAAUCUGUUCUCAGUUCGGAUCGCAUUCUGCAACUCGACUGCGUGACUUUGAAAUCGCUAGUAAUCGCGGAUCUUCAUGCCGCCCCGAAUACGUUCCCGAGACUUGUACACUCCGGCCAUCACAACACGGAGAGUUUG